This 611-nucleotide transfer RNA is filed under the name uncultured Prochlorococcus sp. RNAcentral's name for it is "partial contains 16S ribosomal RNA, 16S-23S ribosomal RNA intergenic spacer, and 23S ribosomal RNA". The stretch from base 226 to 298 matches the Rfam family "tRNA". Lineage: Bacteria; Bacillati; Cyanobacteriota; Cyanophyceae; Synechococcales; Prochlorococcaceae. The record is from RNAcentral.
UGGAUCACCUCCUAACAGGGAGACAACAAAAUGUUUAAUAUUAUUAUUUUGUCACCUUAGGUCGAUCGGUAUCUCACAUUCUUAGUUUUUAAGAAUUUCAAUUCCUAAGUUUUUCUAGGUCACACCCAUUAUUUUUCCUGGGCCAUUAGCUCAGGUGGUUAGAGCGCACCCCUGAUAAGGGUGAGGUCCCUGGUUCAAGUCCAGGAUGGCCCAUAUCUCUAUGUUGGGGGUAUAGCUCAGUUGGUAGAGCGCCUGCUUUGCAAGCAGGAUGUCAGCGGUUCGAGUCCGCUUACCUCCACUGAUUACCACCUCUUCCAUAAUUUUUAGAAAGGGAAUGUUUUGAGUUGUGAUCAAAUCCUGAACGAAUCUAGCUUCCUAAUGAAAUCAUUAAGAUGCUGGACUCAUUGAAUUAAUUUCAUUGUUUUCAGAGAACCUUGACAACUGCAUAGAUUAUUUUUUAAAGACAAUAAGCAUCUUUAAUGAUGCAGAUUUAUUAUUUGUGCAAAUGCAUUAAUAACAAUUCUAUUAAGCUGAUGCUUCAAUUUUUGAAGUUAUUGGUCAAGCUACAAAGGGCUCAUGGAGGAUACCUAGGCACACAGAGGCGAUGAAGG